UUUUAUUUGAGAGUUUGAUCCUGGCUCAGGAUGAACGCUGGCGGCGUGCCUAACACAUGCAAGUUGAGCGAUUUACUUCGGUAAAGAGCGGCGGACGGGUGAGUAACGCGUGGGUAACCUACCCUGUACACACGGAUAACAUACCGAAAGGUAUGCUAAUACGGGAUAAUAUAUUUGAGAGGCAUCUCUUAAAUAUCAAAGGUGAGCCAGUACAGGAUGGACCCGCGUCUGAUUAGCUAGUUGGUAAGGUAACGGCUUACCAAGGCGACGAUCAGUAGCCGACCUGAGAGGGGGAUCGGCCACAUUGGAACUGAGACACGGUCCAAACUCCUACGG
Molecule: ribosomal RNA, 336 nt
Filed under: Clostridioides difficile
Lineage: Bacteria; Bacillati; Bacillota; Clostridia; Peptostreptococcales; Peptostreptococcaceae
Description: bacterial SSU rRNA
Rfam family: Bacterial small subunit ribosomal RNA
Source: RNAcentral